This 616-nucleotide ribosomal RNA is filed under the name Neochelanops sp. JM-2008. RNAcentral's name for it is "bacterial SSU rRNA". It matches the Rfam family "Eukaryotic small subunit ribosomal RNA", at positions 1173 to 1804 of the family's 1831-position model. The record is from RNAcentral. Lineage: Eukaryota; Metazoa; Arthropoda; Arachnida; Pseudoscorpiones; Chernetidae.
GGAGUGGAGCCUGCGGCUUAAUUUGACUCAACACGGGAAAACUUACCCGGCCCGGACACCGGAAGGAUUGACAGAUUGAUAGCUCUUUCUUGAUUCGGUGGGUGGUGGUGCAUGGCCGUUCUUAGUUGGUGGAGCGAUUUGUCUGGUUAAUUCCGAUAACGAACGAGACUCUAGCCUACUAAAUAGACCCGUGGUCCUUGGUACCGCGACGUGGUCUUCUUAGAGGGACAGGCGGCUCUUAGCCGCACGAAACAGAGCAAUAACAGGUCUGUGAUGCCCUUAGAUGUCCGGGGCCGCACGCGCGCUACACUGGCGGAACCAGGAGGUGUCUUGCCCUGGUCCGAAAGGACUGGGUAACCCUGUGAGCCUCCUUCGUGAUUGGGAUAGGGGAUUGUAAUUAUUCCCCUCGAACGAGGAAUUCCCAGUAAGCGCAGGUCAACAGCCUGCGUUGAUUACGUCCCUGCCCUUUGUGCACACCGCCUGUCGCUACUAUCGAUUGAAUGUCUUAGUGAGGUCUUCGGACCGUUUCGACGGAAAAGCCUAGUGCUCGACCCCGAUUCGGAAAGAUGCCCAAACUUGGUCAUUUAGAGAAAGUAAAAGUCAUAACAAGGUUGCC